Molecule: ribosomal RNA, 751 nt
Filed under: uncultured bacterium
Lineage: Bacteria
Description: bacterial SSU rRNA
Rfam family: Bacterial small subunit ribosomal RNA
Source: RNAcentral
ACGCUGGCGGCAGGCCUAACACAUGCAAGUCGAGCGGUAGCACGGGAGAGCUUGCUCUCUGGGUGACGAGCGGCGGACGGGUGAGUAAUGUCUGGGAAACUGCCUGAUGGAGGGGGAUAACUACUGGAAACGGUAGCUAAUACCGCAUGACCUCGCAAGAGCAAAGUGGGGGACCUUCGGGCCUCACGCCAUCGGAUGUGCCCAGAUGGGAUUAGCUAGUAGGUGGGGUAAUGGCUCACCUAGGCGACGAUCCCUAGCAGGUCUGAGAGGAUGACCAGCCACACUGGAACUGAGACACGGUCCAGACUCCUACGGGAGGCAGCAGUGGGGAAUAUUGCACAAUGGGCGCAAGCCUGAUGCAGCCAUGCCGCGUGUGUGAAGAAGGCCUUAGGGUUGUAAAGCACUUUCAGCGAGGAGGAAGGCGUUGCAGUUAAUAGCUGCAGCGAUUGACGUUACUCGCAGAAGAAGCACCGGCUAACUCCGUGCCAGCAGCCGCGGUAAUACGGAGGGUGCAAGCGUUAAUCGGAAUUACUGGGCGUAAAGCGCACGCAGGCGGUUUGUUAAGUCAGAUGUGAAAUCCCCGAGCUUAACUUGGGAACUGCAUUUGAAACUGGCAAGCUAGAGUCUUGUAGAGGGGGGUAGAAUUCCAGGUGUAGCGGUGAAAUGCGUAGAGAUCUGGAGGAAUACCGGUGGCGAAGGCGGCCCCCUGGACAAAGACUGACGCUCAGGUGCGAAAGCGUGGGGAGCAAAC